Molecule: ribosomal RNA, 250 nt
Filed under: uncultured prokaryote
Description: partial 16S ribosomal RNA
Rfam family: Bacterial small subunit ribosomal RNA
Source: RNAcentral
UACGUAGGGAGCGAGCGUUGUCCGGAUUUACUGGGUGUAAAGGGUGCGUAGGCGGGUUUGCAAGUCAGGCGUGAAAUACCGAGGCUUAACUUCGGGGCUGCGCUUGAAACUGUAGAUCUUGAGUGAAGUAGAGGUAAGCGGAAUUCCUAGUGUAGCGGUGAAAUGCGUAGAUAUUAGGAGGAACACCAGUGGCGAAGGCGGCUUACUGGGCUUUAACUGACGCUGAGGCACGAAAGUAUGGGGAGCAAAC